GUUUUUAUAGGGUUUGUAGACCUUCCGAUCCUUGUUUAAAGACCCCUGCUGAUGCCUGAUAAUUAUUUUGAAAACUGCACUUCUCAUCUGAAGGUUUUAGUUUCAGUGUAUGAGUAUCUGAUGAAAGAAAUUCAUUCAAUGGUUUUGUAGCGUUGGAUUUAAUUUCAGGGUUGGGCUCCUUUCUAGGAAUGGAGGAAUACUGUAAUAUGGGGACGAAACUUCAGAGCAUAGUAUAAAAAUUAUUAAUUCAAAAGUGUACCUGCUGUCAGAUUGGAUGUCAGUGCCGACAUCCCUAGGGGCUGCUGUUCCCAAGACUGUUUUCAUUGUUUCUAUCCAGCACUAGGCACGAGCCUUGAAGUAGUGAAUUCAUCCUCUGAGGUUGUGUGUCCAUUGCUUCAAGAAUAAAAGAAGUAGCAACAGAAUCAUGCAGCGCAGUAUUUCACAGUGACAGUUUUAUGUGGUUGUGUGAUGUUGCAGAGUCUUGUAUGUGAUGUCGACCCUUUUCUUUUGAAUCAAAGCACAGGGCUUUCCUGGAGAAGGGAGGCUUCAAAAAUAACUAGUCUAACACAAAAUUAAGCUCCUAAAUAGUUAUUGCAUUCUGUCUACUACAAAACUAAUUGCUUACAGGAAGUAAAAAGUACAUAUAUCUAAUAUUUAUAUCCCACUUGAAUAGUGGUUUCUAAUUUUAGAUUUCCAGCCCUUUUUUACAUUGUCUUUUUGCAUUGAAAUUAUACUGAAACAUUCAUAUUAUUAUGAAUGCAAUCUAAAUUAAAUAGACAAAGAUACUUGGUUUCUCCCUUCAUGUUGUCAUCUAUUGGAGAAUGACUAGCUUAAAAUAAGUGCAUCAGUUCCCCAUCCAAAGGGAAGCUGAAUAUUCCAAAUCUAGAUCAGCAGUCACUUUGUGUGCCUAUUUGAAAUACCAUUUUUGAACACACUUGGCAACUUAAAGUGCCCAAUUAAAAGCUCUGUAAAAAGAGGAAGUCUGUAGAUGUGCAAUUAGUCCUUAGGAUUCAGAGCGUUUCCUUUAUGUGUGGAAUCACUGGACACAAUAGCUUUAUGCCAGGUGCUUAGAAUAGAAAGUAUUUUUCAGGAUGGAUUAUUUCUGUACUUGGUGCUCCUAAAAUGGUUACUUAAAGAGGCUCUCAACUCCAUAAAAAUAGUAGUGGCGUGAAGAAAUUUUGGAUGUGGUCUUUCACGAAAUUUUAGGCGAUCAAUAACUAUAGCUAGCCAUCUAACUGAUGGGCAGUACACAAAAGUUGCUUAGGUUUCUGGACGCUCUAUUUUAUCUGAUUGCCAAUCUCCCUCUUCCCACCUUUAAUUUGUUUUUUUAAGAGAUGAGGGUUGGAUGCCAGAGAAUUAGCCAGUAUUGUGUUCUUCCUUACUAAAGAAUGAAGCUUCACUGAGUAGAGCCAGAUGGGUUGUAUAUUCUGGGAUUAUUUGUAGUGUUUAUGAUAGAGAGACCCAAAACACUAAGCACUUAAUAGCUUUCCUUAUUUACAAGUCAGAUUCAUCUAAGGGACAUUAUUCUUUUAUUUUUCUGGUGCUUGAAAUGUUCCUUUAAAAUAGAUUAUUAGAGGAUACACAGUGGCACAAAAUUUGUUGCUUGUGAAAAUGCAGAAUGGAUUAAGCUUUUCUUUUUUAAUGCUCUGUAACAAAACAGGUCCAUUUUAUUUCAGUAAAAACACUGAUUUUUUUGCCUAAGUCUCACACACACACAGUUAACAUUGUGUAGAUAAGUGGCUCUUGUUUCCCAGUUGUAUAACAGAUGCAUUCUGUUAAAGUUUGCAGUAAAGUGAAUGUUUAUUAAGUUAAUUAUUUUUCCCCAGUGACUUCUAGUGUAAAAAUCCUGUUGUCUUCCGCUGGGCUCUGGAUAUAGUAUGUUCUCCGGAUAUAGUAUAGUAUGUUUGGUAAGAAUACCAAAAAACC
Molecule: long non-coding RNA, 1926 nt
Organism: Propithecus coquereli (Coquerel's sifaka)
Lineage: Eukaryota; Metazoa; Chordata; Mammalia; Primates; Indriidae
Exons: 2
Source: RefSeq, a predicted model, not a curated record